UUUUUAUUUUUCGGUCAGCUGAGCAGGGAAGCACUGUGGUUUAGCUGCACCCUGCAAUAGUCCCAGAGAUUCCAGCUUCAGCCAGCCGGAGCAGGACUACCCAUCAUGUGGAACCCAAACCAAGGAAUGUGCUGUGGGCAGCCCCCAUAUGCACCACAGCCAUGUGUUCAGCAGCCAAUGAUGCCCCCAUAUAAUCAGGUGCCAUGUGUGGGCCCAGGCUAUGUUGUCACACCAGGGAGCUAUCCCCAAGGUAUCAACCCUUACCCUCAAGGAUAUGUGCAUCAAUGCAGCUGUGAAAGCCGUGGGUGCAUUAAAUGUUGCGAAUCAUGCAGACAUGGCCACUGUGGACAUCAUCAUCAUCGCCACCACCACCACCAUCACCACGGACUGCUUGGGUUCCUUGAACAUCACCUCCAUAAAUGACCUGAAAACCACUUACUCCAAAGAUGGAACAAAUCCAUUGAGUCUGACUGAUCAUCAUCAUGGAAAUUGUUCCACAACCUGUUUUUCUGCCUCCAUUGUACACAAUGCUUCUGCCUCAACCAACAGCAAAAAUAGCUAUGUCCUCUUGUAUGUCUUAUUUCUGUGAUCCAUGGUUUUAAAGAUAAUAAAGUACAGUAUGAAUAUAAAA
Pseudophryne corroboree (corroboree frog) is the source of this 631-nucleotide long non-coding RNA. RefSeq lists it as uncharacterized. The record is from RefSeq and is a predicted model, not a curated record. NCBI's taxonomy places the organism in Eukaryota, Metazoa, Chordata, Amphibia, Anura, Myobatrachidae. The transcript is spliced from 4 exons.